Molecule: ribosomal RNA, 372 nt
Filed under: uncultured bacterium
Lineage: Bacteria
Description: bacterial SSU rRNA
Rfam family: Bacterial small subunit ribosomal RNA
Source: RNAcentral
ACAGAGGGUGCAAGCGUUAAUCGGAAUUACUGGGCGUAAAGCGUGCGUAGGUGGUUUAUUAAGUCAGGUGUGAAAUCCCCGGGCUCAACCUGGGAACUGCGCUUGAUACUGGUAAACUAGAGUUUAGUAGAGGGAAGUGGAAUUCCACGUGUAGCGGUGAAAUGCGUAGAUAUGUGGAGGAACACCAGUGGCGAAGGCGGCUUCCUGGACUAAAACUGACACUGAGGCACGAAAGCGUGGGUAGCAAACAGGAUUAGAUACCCUGGUAGUCCACGCCCUAAACGAUGGGUACUAGACGUCGGGAGGUUUAUCCUCCUGGUGUCGCAGCUAACGCAUUAAGUACCCCGCCUGGGGAGUACGGUCGCAAGAUUA